This 261-nucleotide ribosomal RNA is filed under the name uncultured bacterium. Its description in RNAcentral is "partial 16S ribosomal RNA". It matches the Rfam family "Bacterial small subunit ribosomal RNA", at positions 773 to 1038 of the family's 1533-position model. The record is from RNAcentral.
GUGGAUUAGAUACCCUGGUAGUCCACGCCCUAAACGAUGAUUACUCGAUGUGUGCAAUACACCGUACGCGUCUGAGCGAAAGCAUUAAGUAAUCCACCUGGGGAGUACGACCGCAAGGUUGAAACUCAAAGGAAUUGACGGGGGCCCGCACAAGCGGAGGAGCAUGUGGUUUAAUUCGAUGAUACGCGAGGAACCUUACCAGGGCUUGAAAGUUAAGGAAUGAUGUAGAAAUAUGUCAGUCAGCAAUGACCUGAAACUAGG